Long non-coding RNA from Epinephelus fuscoguttatus (brown-marbled grouper), 2199 nucleotides. RefSeq lists it as uncharacterized. The record is from RefSeq and is a predicted model, not a curated record. NCBI's taxonomy places the organism in Eukaryota, Metazoa, Chordata, Actinopteri, Perciformes, Serranidae. The transcript is spliced from 3 exons.
AAUCUAUAAUAAUAUCAUUUAUUAGUUGAUGGUAUUUUGUAUUAAUAAUCUACAAAGUAACUGAAGUUAUCAAAUAAAUAUAGUGGAGUAAAAAGUCCAAUAUUUCCCUCUGAGAUGUAGUGGAGUAAAAAGUGGCCUAUAAAGUAUCAGAAAAUGGAAAUACUCAAGUAAAGUAGGCGACAAGUAGUGAUGAGCAAAUGAAGCCUCAUGAAGCUUUGUCUUUAUUUUCUGAGCCCACCAGAUGGCGCUCUCUGUUCAACAAAGGGUUACAGGCACACUGGACUGUCUGUCCUUGAGCUGUUUUCUUUAAACCAAGAGCGCCAUCUAGUGGGCUCAGAAAAUAAAAAUUGUUCAUGGAGCUUUAUUUGGUGAUCACUCGCUUCAAGUGGGUCUGUCUGUCUGUCUGUCUGUCUGUCUGCAGCAGGUCAGGAUGAAGGUGGCAGCUCUCUCUCUUCUUCUCUGUGAGUAACGUGUUUUUUCAACAAGGUAUUUUUUCACCGUUGUGACUUUUUAGAUUCUGUUUCCACAUUUUAUUCAUUGCAGGAGUGAUUUGUGUCUCUUCUUAUUUCACAUUCUGUCUCUUUGUUCUUGUUUUAGACUGAAUGCAAACUUUAAUUUUCCUAUAAACUACAUGGCGAUGCACCAAAACCACACAUUUCAAAAACUCCGAACUUCUCUAUCUGGACAAAAGUAUGUGGACAUCCUCACACAGCAGUGGUGGGAUGUAACUAAGUACUGUACUUGAGCUACAUUUUGAGCUCCUUGUACUUUCCAUUGACUUUAUACUUUUAUUCCACAUACCUUUCACCAUCUGUACAUCUUGUCAGGUUUUUGAUGAGCUUUACUUUAAUAUUUAAAUCUAGCAGUGCUUUGUUCCCUCAUCUUGAGUCAUCUGAUCAUUUGAGUCUGAUUUUGAAUGUUUGCAUGGAGUUGAUCAAUAUUUAAUAAAGCAGAUAUUUCCAUGAGCACUCAGUGAGUUUAAUAAGUUCAUGUCAGAUCCUUGUUGUCUUGUUGUGUUCUGUGUACGUUUCUGAGACUUUUCUGAGCAGCACUCUGGACUCUGCGUGUCCACCAUUCAGCUGGAUUAUCAUAUUCAUAUUUCAGAUGAGAACAGAGGUGAGAAACAUAAAGUGUGUUCAUAAAGUCAUGUAUUUCCCUCUGUGUGAUGUGACUCUGAGCUGCAGACCAAGAGUCACAAUGUCUUCCUUCCACCUCACAGCUGAUUUCUAUAAAGAUGGCGUCUUCAUCAGGAGCAGCUCCACAGGAAACAUGACCAUCCACAGUGUUUCUCCAUCUGAUGAAGGACUCUACAGAUGUAACUGUGUCUCUGGAGCUGGAGGAUCAGCAGACAGCUGGCUGACUGUCAGAGCGCCUCCUGCAGGCCGUGAUCCUCCACCUCCUCUGCUGUCUGUCUCCGCUCUGCUGCGCCACCUGGUGGCUGGAGCUCCUUACCUGCUGUCCACCAUCUUACUGGGACUCAUUUACAGAGACAGAGCGAGAGAAAGACAUAACUACUGUUCCUGCUGCUGUUCAUUACUGGGCAGGGUUUGUCCCUGAUUUGGAAUGGCGUAACAUCUGGAGUCUACCUUAUAAGUAUCUGCUCACUAAUAAAGUGAGAGAAGUGACCUUUAAGCUGAGGCACAGACACUACCCUGCUAAACAGUAUCUGCUGAAGUUUAAAAAGGACUUGUGUGUUGACUGAUCGUUAUGUGAUGUGUUUCCUGAAACUGUUGUCCAUCUUUUUUUGGCAAUGUCUCCACUCUAGUAAGUUUUGGAAAGACUUCGCCCAUUUUAUUGUUGUUAAGAUAGACUCUGACUUUGGUUUAUAUUGGAAAGAUGUAUUGUUUGGUGUCCAUAGCAACGAAAAGAAGAGACAUAGAAAAUGAUAUAUUAUUAACUUAUUAAUUAUUUUAGGAAAAUGCCACAUUCAUGAGGAUAAAUUUAGUAACGCAAAACCUUCAUUUAUUGCAUUUGAAAAGGAAAGCAAACAAUAUGUAAAAACUAUUAGUGAUUCAAACAAUAAGAAAGCUGCUAAAACUCAUGAGUUAUGUACUUUGCUUAAUAUUUUCAAAUGAAACGCCCACUGGCUGCUAUGUUGUUGUAUAUUAACGACUGUGUAUCUGUGUUUUUCUAUUGUUUGUUUGUAAUGUUUCCUGUAAAUCAAUAAAAUAAAAUAAAAACUCUGCAGGAGAAGAACUG